UGAAUACGAGACGCUAAGGCGUCGAAGUAGUGUAUGUCAUACUUCCAAGAAAAGCUUGCACUGUCAUAAGUAAAAAAUGCCUGUACCAUAACCGACACAGGUGGGUAGGUAGAGUAUACUAAGGGGCGCGAGAUAACUCUCUCUAAGGAACUCGGCAAAAUAACUCCGUAACUUCGGGAGAAGGAGUACCUUAUUCUAUAAGGUUGCAAUAACAAGAUCCAAGCAACUGUUUAUCAAAAACACAGGUCUCCGCUAAGUCGUAAGACGAUGUAUGGGGGCUGACGCCUGCCCAGUGCCAGAAGGUUAAAGAAGUCGGUUAGCAUUAGCGAAGCUGGUAACUGAAGCCCUGGUGAACGGCGGCCGUAACAAUAACGGUCCUAAGGUAGCGAAAUUCCUUGUCGGGUAAGUUCCGACCCGCACGAAAGGCGUAAUGAUUUGGAUACUGUCUCGGAGAGGGGCUCGGUGAAAUAGACUUGUCUGUGAAGAUGCGGACUACCUGCACCAGGACAGAAAGACCCUAUGAAGCUUUACUGUAACUUGAAAUUGAAAUUGGACUUUAUUCGCGCAGUAUAGGUGGGAGGUGUGAUUAUAAUCUUGCGGGAUUAUUGGAGCCAUCAGUGAGAUACCACUCUUGUAAUGUUAGAUUUCUAACUUUGAAUCAUUAUCUGGUCAAAGGACAGUUUCAGGCGGGCAGUUUGACUGGGGCGGUCGCCUCCCAAACGGUAACGGAGGCGUACAAAGGUUUCCUCUGAACGGGUAGAAAUCGUAUCUAGAGUGUAAAGGCAUAAGGAAGCUUGACUGUGAGACCUACAAGUCGAACAGGGACGAAAGUCGGUCUUAGUGAUCUGACGGUACUGAGUGGAAAGGCCGUCACUCAACGGAUAAAAGUUACUCUAGGAUAACAGGCUGAUCUCCCCCAAGAGUUCACAUCGACGGGGAGGUUUGGCACCUCGAUGUCGGCUCAUCGCAUCCUGGGGCGGUAGUACGUCCCAAGGGUUGGGCUGUUCGCCCAUGGAAGCGGUACGCGAGCUGGGUUCAGAACGUCGUGAGACAGUUCGGUCCAUAUCCGGUGUAGGCGUUAGAAUAUUGAGAGGAGCCUUCUUUAGUACGAGAGGACCGAGAAGGACAUACCUCCGGUGUACCAGUUAUCGUGCCAACGGUAAACGCUGGGUAGCUAUGUAUGGAGUGGAUAACCGCUGAAAGCAUCUAAGUGGGAAGCCCACCUCAAGAUAAGUAUUC
Molecule: ribosomal RNA, 1239 nt
Filed under: metagenome
Description: bacterial LSU rRNA
Rfam family: Bacterial large subunit ribosomal RNA
Source: RNAcentral